RNAcentral lists this ribosomal RNA (383 nucleotides) under uncultured bacterium. Its description in RNAcentral is "bacterial SSU rRNA". It matches the Rfam family "Bacterial small subunit ribosomal RNA", at positions 28 to 412 of the family's 1533-position model. The record is from RNAcentral.
GACGAACGCUGGCGGCGUGCUUAACACAUGCAAGUCGAGCGGUAAGGCCCUUUCGGGGGUACACGAGCGGCGAACGGGUGAGUAACACGUGGGUGACCUGCCUUUAGCUCUGGGAUAAGCCUGGGAAACCGGGUCUAAUACCGGAUAUGACUCCGCGGCGCAUGUUGUGGGGUGGAAAGCCUUGUGCGGCUAGGGAUGGGCCCGCGGCCUAUCAGCUUGUUGGUGGGGUGAUGGCCUACCAAGGCGACGACGGGUAGCUGGCCUGAGAGGGCGACCGGCCACACUGGGACUGAGACACGGCCCAGACUCCUACGGGAGGCAGCAGUGGGGAAUCUUGCGCAAUGGGCGAAAGCCUGACGCAGCGACGCCGCGUGAGGGAUGAC